AAUGGUUAAGUGUUUGGCUGCUAACCAAAAGGUUGGUGGUUCAAAUCUACCAGCCAUUC
RNAcentral lists this transfer RNA (59 nucleotides) under Loxodonta africana (African savanna elephant). It matches the Rfam family "tRNA". Rfam says of the family: Transfer RNA (tRNA) molecules are approximately 80 nucleotides in length. Their secondary structure includes four short double-helical elements and three loops (D, anti-codon, and T loops). The record is from Rfam by way of RNAcentral. Lineage: Eukaryota; Metazoa; Chordata; Mammalia; Proboscidea; Elephantidae.